RNAcentral lists this long non-coding RNA (1617 nucleotides) under Lepidothrix coronata (blue-crowned manakin). RNAcentral describes it as "lncRNA (ENSLCOG00000012023.1)". The record is from RNAcentral. Lineage: Eukaryota; Metazoa; Chordata; Aves; Passeriformes; Pipridae.
GCCGCCUCGUUCCGCCUCCGCCCGCCCUCAGCGCCCGCCCACGGAUCGCGCGCGCACGCGUGUGGAAACCCUCUGGUGUGGAGGGAGAGGGCGGACGCUUAAAGUGACGCCCUUGUUGGUGUUUGUUCCUGGUUAAUAGUACUGCCGGGUCCUACGGGCUGGCUUUGUUUUGCAAAUCACGGAACCGGUCAGGUUGCAAGGGGCCACAGCGGGUUGUCCGGUCCAACCGCCCUGCCCAAGCAGGGUCAUCCCAGAGCACAUGGCACAGGAUUUUGUCCAGACGGUUCUUGAAUAUCUCCAGUGAGGGAGAUUCCACAACUUCUCGUCGUGCUUGCUGCUGUCUUGUCUUCUUUCUCCCUGUGCACUUCAGCUGUUGAAGGGAACAAACAAGCGGACACAGGCAGCAGAUUGUGGCCCAUGGAGUUCUCCUUGCGUCUCCUUAGAGAGCCAGCUCAGAGCCUCAGACAGCUCAAAAUACUGCCUCUCAGAAGAAGGAAGAAAAGAAUGCGGAGUUCACAGUUGUUGAUUGUUUCCAGCAGAAAUUUGGCCCUGCAGUGCUGCCCCUAAAACAGCAAUGUGUUGUCAGAAUAGCAGAAGAAGGUGUUAAUUUGUGUCAUCAUGGAAAACUCUCAUGGCCUGAAGUAAGAGACAGAUACUUGCCAAAAUGUGUUACUAAACAGGGGCAUAAUUGAGAAACAUUUGAGGAUUGCCCAGUGUUUAAGACUUACAUAACUGUUCUGGUAAUGGAUAUGAUAUCCUUUAAGAGAGAUUAAGUAUUUCAUAAAAGACCUGUUACGGAAAGAAUUAUAUAAGGUAAUAGAAUAAUGAGUAAACUUGUGUGUAAUAUAUACAUUUGUUUAUAGCAAUGCAACAAAUUUGGUUUGCAUUCUUGUAUACAGGUAGAGCUAUCGCAGUAGUACAGCUGUUGCCUAUUAAAAAACUGCAAGACCUAAUCACAAUGCCAAUAUACUUGAAGGUGUAAAAUCCAUCUAAAGAUGAUACUGUGUCUUAGUUAUCUGUGAUGUUAUAACUGUCUGAAGAGGAAGAGCCAGAAAGGAGAAUAGCUUUAUGUGAUAGCUCAAAAUCCUCUUAGCUUAUUUUUAAAUAGAUUUAAAAGUGAGUGUGUUUAUCCAAAGUGAAAAAUUGUGUGGGAGUUCAUACUUCAGAUUUAACCCUUUUAUGCAGAAGCAAGUGUCCACAAAAUGUUUGCUUUGGUAUGGCUAAAUUGCUUUCAGCUUUUGUUAAAAAGCUUUAUGCUUCUGUUAAACCGUUAUGAAUCUGAACAUAUGCAAAACUUAAAUUUUAUAAUCCAUUUGAGAGGCUAGGAUGGAAGAUGAUGUCCUCUAUUUCUUUGGUAGUGCUCUUUGACAAUGAAACAAAUGUCAUGGGCACAAGAAUUUUGUUGGAAGUAAUUCUGUAAAAAUGUCACCAUAAUAGGUGUAGGAAUUUGUUUUAAGUAGCGUGGUCUUGAUAUGUCUCAAAGUGCAUUAUUUAACCAUUGUACAGUAGACAACUGUGUUGUUCUUUUCAAUUAUUGGGAAAAUCUCUGAGCACCUCUGGAAAAAACAAGACUUGUUUAUGAAUUACCACUAAAUAAACUAAACCCACUCUUCCCCA